UACAGAGGGUGCAAGCGUUGUUCGGAAUUACUGGGCGUAAAGGGCUCGUAGGCGGCCAACUAAGUCGGACGUGAAAUCCCUCGGCUUAACCGGGGAACUGCGUCCGAUACUGGAUGACUUGAGUUCGGGAGAGGGAUGCGGAAUUCCAGGUGUAGCGGUGAAAUGCGUAGAUAUCUGGAGGAACACCGGUGGCGAAGGCGGCAUCCUGGACCGACACUGACGCUGAGGAGCGAAAGCCAGGGGAGCAAACGGG
This 253-nucleotide ribosomal RNA is filed under the name uncultured bacterium. RNAcentral describes it as "partial 16S ribosomal RNA". It matches the Rfam family "Bacterial small subunit ribosomal RNA", at positions 524 to 776 of the family's 1533-position model. The record is from RNAcentral.